AACGCGAAGAACCUUACCUGGCCUUGACAUCUACGGAAUUCUUCAGAGAUGAGGAAGUGCCUUCGGGAACCGUAAGACAGGUGCUGCAUGGCUGUCGUCAGCUCGUGUCGUGAGAUGUUGGGUUAAGUCCCGCAACGAGCGCAACCCUUGUCCUUAGUUGCCAUCAUUCAGUUGGGAACUCUAAGGAGACCGCCGGUGACAAACCGGAGGAAGGUGGGGAUGACGUCAAGUCAUCAUGGCCUUUAUGGCCAGGGCUACACACGUGCUACAAUGGCAGGUACAGAGGGAAGCCAACGCGCGAGCGGGAGCCAAUCCCAGAAAGCCUGUCGUAGUCCGGAUCGGAGUCUGCAACUCGACUCCGUGAAGUCGGAAUCGCUAGUAAUCGCAGAUCAGCAUUGCUGCGGUGAAUACGUUCCCGGGCCUUGUA
RNAcentral lists this ribosomal RNA (427 nucleotides) under uncultured Gammaproteobacteria bacterium. Its description in RNAcentral is "bacterial SSU rRNA". It matches the Rfam family "Bacterial small subunit ribosomal RNA", at positions 958 to 1385 of the family's 1533-position model. The record is from RNAcentral. Lineage: Bacteria; Pseudomonadati; Pseudomonadota; Gammaproteobacteria.